AAUCGAAGCAGUGAACUUAAGCCCCGGUCAACGGCGGCCGUAACUAUGACGGUCCUAAGGUAGAGAAAUUCCUCGUCGGGUAAGUUCCGACCCCGACGAAAGGAGUGACGAUUGCGGUGCUGCCUCACCAAAAGACGCGAUGAAAUUGUAAUGCCGGUGAAGAUGCCGGAUACCUGCGACAGGACGGAAAGACCCCAUGGAGCUUUACUGUAGCUUGACAUUG
Molecule: ribosomal RNA, 223 nt
Filed under: Clostridioides difficile
Lineage: Bacteria; Bacillati; Bacillota; Clostridia; Peptostreptococcales; Peptostreptococcaceae
Description: partial 23S ribosomal RNA
Rfam family: Bacterial large subunit ribosomal RNA
Source: RNAcentral